GAAGGGGCGGUGCUGAGGGGAGAGGCCGGGCCAAGGGAAGAAGCGUGCGAGAAAGGGUGGGGCGAGUCCAGCUACAGGAAGAGUAGCGUUACUAUGGCAACCCUGACAGGUUUGUGAGCAGCCCCCGGUCCCCUGCCGCUCCGUGAGAAAUCAAACUUCAGGCACUGACGAAGCAUGAAGCCAGCAUCUUAGGAAGAGGUAGUGACAUAAUUACAAGAUUUGUGCUGUGCACUAACAUGCAAUACAAAUACUGAUGAAAAUAAAACUAUUGCCCUCCUACCAAAUGAGAAAUUAAUGUUAUGACUGGAUGAAGACAAUUGUGAAGAAACUGCACUUUGAGGUUGUCUAUCUCUGUAUUCUGAUGGAAAAGCGUGGAGUUUAGAAGCACUGCUCACUCCUUCAGUUUCUAACAAGUUUGAGACUAUGGUUAGGUGGUGAGGAAGGCAGGCUCAGCACCCAAGCCUUGGGGAGACGCAGAAAGGGCCCAUCCCAGGCACUCAGGUGGAGGUGGUCUGUCCUAGAGAACGUUCCAUGUGGAUUUGAGAAGAAUAUAUAUUCUCAUGUUGGAUGCAGUGCUGUGCAUAUGUUUGUUAGGUUUAGUUGUUUUAUGUUGUUGUUCAUGUUUUCUAUUUUUUAUCUUCUGUCUACUUGUUCUAUCCAUUAAUAUAAGUGAAGCAUUAAAGUCUCCAACUAUUACUGUUGAA
RNAcentral lists this long non-coding RNA (704 nucleotides) under Homo sapiens (human). RNAcentral describes it as "long independently transcribed non-coding RNA 2848, transcript variant 9 (LINC02848)". The record is from RNAcentral. Lineage: Eukaryota; Metazoa; Chordata; Mammalia; Primates; Hominidae.